ACGGAGGAAAAGGAAACCAACAGGGAUUGCUCUAGUAACGGCGAGUGAAGCAGCAAUAGCUCAAAUUUGAAAUCUGGCGUCUUCGACGUCCGAGUUGUAAUUUGUAGAGGAUGCUUCUGAGUAACCACCGACCUAAGUUCCUUGGAACAGGACGUCAUAGAGGGUGAGAAUCCCGUAUGCGGUCGGAAAGGUGCUCUAUACGUAGCUCCUUCGACGAGUCGAGUUGUUUGGGAAUGCAGCUCUAAAUGGGAGGUAAAUUUCUUCUAAAGCUAAAUAUUGGCCAGAGACCGAUAGCGCACAAGUAGAGUGAUCGAAAGAUGAAAAGCACUUUGGAAAGAGAGUUAAAAAGCACGUGAAAUUGUUAAAAGGGAAGGGAUUGCAACCAGACUUGCUCGCGGUGUUCCGCCGGUCUUCUGACCGGUCUACUCGCCGCGUUGCAGGCCAGCAUCGUCUGGUGCCGCUGGAUAAGACUUGAGGAAUGUAGCUCCCUCGGGAGUGUUAUAGCCUCUUGUGAUGCAGCGAGCGCCGGGCGAGGUCCGCGCUUCGGCUAGGAUGCUGGCGUAAUGGUCGUAAUCCGCCCGUCU
RNAcentral lists this ribosomal RNA (584 nucleotides) under Cladosporium sp. 2 YHY-2018. Its description in RNAcentral is "partial large subunit ribosomal RNA". It matches the Rfam family "Eukaryotic large subunit ribosomal RNA", at positions 50 to 654 of the family's 3401-position model. The record is from RNAcentral. Lineage: Eukaryota; Fungi; Ascomycota; Dothideomycetes; Cladosporiales; Cladosporiaceae.